This 497-nucleotide ribosomal RNA is filed under the name uncultured bacterium. RNAcentral's name for it is "partial 16S ribosomal RNA". It matches the Rfam family "Bacterial small subunit ribosomal RNA", at positions 28 to 507 of the family's 1533-position model. The record is from RNAcentral.
GACGAACGCUGGCGGCGUGCCUAAUACAUGCAAGUUGAGCGCUGAAGGUUGGUACUUGUACCAACUGGAUGAGCAGCGAACGGGUGAGUAACGCGUGGGGAAUCUGCCUUUGAGCGGGGGACAACAUUUGGAAACGAAUGCUAAUACCGCAUAAAAACUUUAAACACAAGUUUUAAGUUUGAAAGAUGCAAUUGCAUCACUCAAAGAUGAUCCCGCGUUGUAUUAGCUAGUUGGUGAGGUAAAGGCUCACCAAGGCGAUGAUACAUAGCCGACCUGAGAGGGUGAUCGGCCACAUUGGGACUGAGACACGGCCCAAACUCCUACGGGAGGCAGCAGUAGGGAAUCUUCGGCAAUAGACGAAAGUCUGACCGAGCAACGCCGCGUGAGUGAAGAAGGUUUUCGGAUCGUAAAACUCUGUAGGUAGAGAAGAACGUUGGUGAGAGUGGAAAGCUCAUCAAGUGACGGUAACUACCCAGAAAGGGACGGCUAACUACGUG